Molecule: ribosomal RNA, 253 nt
Filed under: uncultured bacterium
Lineage: Bacteria
Description: partial 16S ribosomal RNA
Rfam family: Bacterial small subunit ribosomal RNA
Source: RNAcentral
UACGAAGGGUGCUAGCGUUGUUCGGAAUCACUGGGCGUAAAGCGCGCGUAGGCGGCUUUUCAAGUCAGGGGUGAAAUCCCGGGGCUCAACCCCGGAACUGCCCUUGAAACUGUAAAGCUUGAGUGUCGGAGGGGAUAGCGGAAUUGCUAAUGUAGAGGUGAAAUUCGUAGAUAUUAGCAGGAACACCGGUGGCGAAGGCGGCUAUCUGGACGACAACUGACGCUGAGGCGCGAAAGCGUGGGGAUCAAACAGG